GAGACUCUAGGCAACAGAGAUGGCCUUAUCGCUGCAAGAGACACGGCGGAGCUGCUCAGCAUUCCUCUUCUGGCUGUGGCCCUGCUGUUUCACUGCUGGUGCUGGUGAAAUUCAGGAGAUGGUUUCUGGGGAGAUAAAACCAGGAGCCCUCCCACUGGUGGUCCAGGAAGUCCUCUCAUUCCAUCUGCGCUGCCCUGCCGUGGUGGAGCUGUAGAUGUUUUAUGGAAUUAUGCAUUCUAAAGGGUGCAGGGGGAGACUUGGUAUAUUCUGAGAUCCUGACUAUUCAGUUGGGUAAAAAAGGAGAAGGCAAUACCUCCAGGACAUUUCUAGAGGAUAAAAUGUCUCAGUUGUUUACUCUGACAUGAAGACACAUCCCCCAGAUAACUCAGCUGGAAAGAUUAGCUCUAAGGAUGAAGAC
Molecule: long non-coding RNA, 418 nt
Filed under: Homo sapiens (human)
Lineage: Eukaryota; Metazoa; Chordata; Mammalia; Primates; Hominidae
Description: non-protein coding lnc-ZNF385D-5:1
Source: RNAcentral